GUGAAGGUGUUCGUAUGGGUGGCAGGGGGAGUACUGCAAUCAGUGUAUCCCAUACCCCGGCUGUGUGCAUGGUACCUGUGAGGAACCGUGGCAGUGUCUCUGCGACACCAACUGGGGAGGACUGCUCUGUGACAAAGCUUCCGGUGUGACCACUGCCUCUACCCCUGGUCAGAGUCUUGUUGCUUGGUGGUGCUCACUGAUGCUGUGGAUGGAUCUGUGUGGACAGCCUGACCCAGGAGACAGCCAUGGACAGAGCCACUUGGGGACUUUCACACCAUCACAGAUCUGCCAUUACAUCUGUCAGCUUGAGACAGCAAGGAAUUAGUGUCUUUAAUGACCUCAGAAACUACAGUGACCUAAUAGUUCCUCAUGAGCCAUUGAUUGCUGUUGUAAAAAGGACAUUAAUCAGCUACAGUUACAUUAUUUACUGUCCAGUGUCACCCAAAUGAGGAUGGGUUCCCUUCUGAGCCUAGUUCUUCUCAAGGUUUCUUCCUUAUAUCAUCUCAGGGAGUUUUUCCUUGCCACCGUCACCACAGGCUUGCUCAUUUGGCAUAAAAUAAAAUAGGGAUAAAAUAGUUUAAUAAUUUAAUUUAAUCAUUUUUUAUUUUUUAAUUAUAUAAAAAAUAGCUAACAUUAGCUAUGUCUGUUUAUAAUAGUAGCUUGCAGAGUCAAAUGCUGCACUCAUACAGUAGUUCAGAAUUAUCAGCUAACAAAAACACAAAACCUCUUGUUACCUAUACAGCCUGAAUACAAGUAUAGCUUUUCUAUUUAAAUAAAGUAAAAUACAUACUUGGAAAUGUACUUAUUUUCAAAAGUUCAAGUAUCAAAGGGUAAAGUAUUGUGAGUUAUUGUGUCCUUUGGAGACAGCCCUGACCUCUAACUCCGAAAGAUAUGUUUCAGAGGUGAAGUCAGAUGCAGUGGGUUGAUCAGCAACAGUGGAAUAGUUCUGUGUUGUAUUAGUGACUCAGUUCACUGUCACUGAUACUGUGAAGUGAUGAUCUGUGUAAAAUUAUGCUCCAACAGCAUCACUUCCUGGGUGUGGCCUUCUAGAUCCACUGCAACCCUGACCAGGAUAAAGCAGUUAUUGAAGAUGAAUGAAUGUAGGUGUAUAUUGACAGGUGUGGGAGUGUGAUCAGGAUAUAAUUCAAGAUAUAACAUAGUUUUCUAAUGAACUGAUAUUAAAGAAAAUAGUCUCACUGCUCUGCAUUUAUUGAGUGUAUAACACAUUCUGCUCAUUCAGUCACUCAGAAUAAACUGUUUAAUGUA
Hemibagrus wyckioides is the source of this 1266-nucleotide long non-coding RNA. RefSeq lists it as uncharacterized. Lineage: Eukaryota; Metazoa; Chordata; Actinopteri; Siluriformes; Bagridae. The transcript is spliced from 2 exons. The record is from RefSeq and is a predicted model, not a curated record.